This 286-nucleotide unclassified non-coding RNA is filed under the name uncultured fungus. RNAcentral describes it as "partial contains small subunit ribosomal RNA, internal transcribed spacer 1, and 5.8S ribosomal RNA". The stretch from base 1 to 73 matches the Rfam family "Eukaryotic small subunit ribosomal RNA", at positions 1759 to 1831 of the family's 1831-position model. The record is from RNAcentral. Lineage: Eukaryota; Fungi.
GCAAACUUGGUCAUUUAGAGGAAGUAAAAGUCGUAACAAGGUUUCCGUAGGUGAACCUGCGGAAGGAUCAUUAAAAAAUUUUGAACCAAUUUUAUGGAUCAAAAAAAUCCAUAAUCCACCUUAUGUGUUUCUAUUGACCUUUGGGAGAUGACCUUCAGAUUUUUGAAGUCAUCUCCCAGGGGGUUAUCUAUAUACAAAUUUUUAGACUUAAAAUUUUUACAUGUUAAAUAUAAUAACAACUUUCAACAACGGAUCUCUUGGCUCUCGCAUCGAUGAAGAACGCAGC